This 76-nucleotide transfer RNA is filed under the name Salinivirgaceae bacterium. RNAcentral's name for it is "tRNA-Met". It matches the Rfam family "tRNA". From Rfam's summary of the family: Transfer RNA (tRNA) molecules are approximately 80 nucleotides in length. Their secondary structure includes four short double-helical elements and three loops (D, anti-codon, and T loops). Lineage: Bacteria; Pseudomonadati; Bacteroidota; Bacteroidia; Bacteroidales; Salinivirgaceae. The record is from RNAcentral.
UGCGGGGUAGAGCAGUUGGUAGCUCGUCGGGCUCAUAACCCGGAGGUCGGGGGUUCGAGUCCUCCCUCCGCUACUA